GUGCACUGACCCGGCACCUCAAGUCUCUCACCCCCUGCACAGAGAAAAUCCGCUUCAGUGUGAGCAAGGACGUGGUUGUCAGCAAAGAGGACGCACGUGCAGGUUCUGGAGCUGGAGCUGCCGGCUUGGGGACAGCCACAUCAUCGGUGACAGGCGAGCCUAUAGAGACUUCACCCGUGAUUCACCUGGUGACAGAUGCCAAGGGCACCGUCAUCCACGAAGUCCACGUCCAGAUGCAGGAGCUGUCCCUGGGCAUGAAAGCCCUGGCCCCAGAGGUGGGGGCGACGGGGGGCCCCGGAGGGCUGCUCUGUCUUCUGCCUGCUCGGUGCCAGUCUUUGUUCUGGGCACUGGCUCCAGGGGUCUGAGCCAGGCAGGCGAGGGCUGGGCUUCCCACAGGGAGAGCAGGGCCAGUGGGAGCGCCAUGGGGGUCUGAGGGUUUGCACAAGGCUCCUGGCGUGCGUCUGCCCCAUGGGGUGGGUGCUGGAUGCCAGGCUGCCUGGCCAGCCUCCUCUCUCUGCCUCCCCUGCAGCCCCCCGUCUCCCAGGAGCUCCCCUGCUCCAGCGAGGGCAGCCGUGAGAACCUGCUGCACCAGGCCAUGCAGAACUCCGGCAUCGUCCUUGAGCGCGCUGCUGGGGAGGAGGGUGCCCUGGAGCCAGCUCCUGCUGCCGGGUCCAGUCCCCAGCCCCUGGCAGUGGCAGCCCCGCAGCUGCCGGUACUGGAAGUGCAGCCGCUGGAGACAGUAGGUGCCAGCACCACCUGCGGGCUCCUCCCAGGGCUGGAUCCCAGGGGCUGUCCCCACGCUGGCCUUCGCCUCCCUGAAGUGGCUUUCUGCAGUGACUUUGUCCAUUGAUCUGUUUACUGCCUUCCCUGGGGCCACAAGGGAGCCUGCCAGGGUGGGGCCCAUGGUUGUGUUCUUGGUACUGCCAGGGCACAGCCUGCCCCGGGUGCUGGAGACCUUCCUGUGGUUCCCCAGCAGGUGGCCAGCGAGGCCUCAGCGGUGCCCAGGACCCACCCAUGUCCUCAGUGCAGUGAGACCUUCCCGACAGCAGCCACCCUGGAGGCCCACAAGAGGGGCCACACCGGGCCGAGGCCGUUCGCCUGCGCGCAGUGUGGCAAGGCCUUCCCCAAGGCCUACCUGCUCAAGAAGCACCAGGAGGUGCACGUGCGUGAGCGCCGCUUCCGCUGUGGCGACUGCGGGAAGCUCUACAAGACCAUUGCCCAUGUGCGUGGCCACCGGCGCGUCCACUCAGACGAGCGGCCCUACCCUUGUCCCAAGUGUGGCAAGCGCUACAAGACUAAGGUGGGUCUCUGGCCGCAGGACCCUGGCGCCUGAUCCCCCCAUCCUGCUCCCUGGCCGUGGCCCAGGUGCACCCCCUUCCCUGCCUCCACCAUGCUCAGUCUUGACCCAGCCCCUCCCUUGGGCCACAGGCGGGAGGGGAGAGCUGUAGUCUGUUGUGGCCAAGGCCAGGCUGGCACUGACAGGUGUCUCCACAGAACGCACAGCAGGUGCACUUCAGGACACACCUGGAGGAGAAGCCGCACGUGUGCCAGUUCUGCAGCCGUGGCUUCCGAGAGAAGGGCUCACUGGUGCGGCACGUGCGACACCACACAGGCGAGAAGCCGUUCAAGUGCUACAAGUGCGGCCGUGGCUUCGCCGAGCACGGCACGCUGAACCGGCACCUGCGCACCAAAGGGGGCUGCCUGCUGGAGGUGGAGGAGUUGCUGGUGUCUGAGGACAGCCCCGCGGCAGCCACCACCGUCCUCACGGAAGACCCGCACACAGUGUUGGUGGAGUUCUCGUCCGUGGUAGCUGACACCCAGGAGUAUAUCAUCGAGGUGGGUGUGGGGCCCUGGGGCCGUGCUGGGACCCAGGGGCAGCCAAGGCUGACCUCUGUCCUUCUGCCCAUCUGCCCAGGCCACUGCGGACGAUGCGGAGACCAGUGAGGCCACGGAGAUCAUCGAGGGCACCCAGACAGAGGUGAGGGGUAGGGCAGGCGGGGGCGGGGAGGCUCCCUGGCACAGCCGCUCUUGCUGAGCCGUGGCCCUGCAGGUGGACAGCCACAUCAUGAAGGUGGUGCAGCAGAUCGUGCACCAGGCUAGCGCCGGCCACCAGAUCAUCGUGCAGAACGUCACCAUGGACGAGGAGACGGCGCUGGGCCCAGAGGCGGCUGCCGCCGACACCAUCACCAUCGCCACCCCCGAGAGCCUGACAGAGCAGGUGGCCAUGACGCUGGCCUCGGCCAUCAGCGAGGGCACUGUGCUUGCCGCCCGGGCAGGGACAAGUGGCACUGAACAGGCCACUGUGACCAUGGUGUCAUCAGAGGACAUCGAGAUCCUGGAGCAUGCAGGCGAGCUGGUCAUCGCCUCGCCGGAGGGCCAGCUGGAGGUGCAGACGGUCAUCGUCUAGCAUGAGGUCUGCGGGGUCCUGGCCGGGCAGGGACAGGGCAGAGGACUCUGAGCGCCCCACCCAUGCCUGCCUGGCCUGGUAGAGAAGAUGGCACAGGAUGGAGGCGCCCCAAGACGGACAGUGUACAUAAGAGUUUCUUGUUGCUUUACAAUAAAACAUGAGAACCUGC
Molecule: long non-coding RNA, 2576 nt
Filed under: Homo sapiens (human)
Lineage: Eukaryota; Metazoa; Chordata; Mammalia; Primates; Hominidae
Description: long non-coding RNA NONHSAT172552.1
Source: RNAcentral